This 2703-nucleotide long non-coding RNA is filed under the name Vitis vinifera (wine grape). Its description in RNAcentral is "long non-coding RNA (VVIN_LNC003540)". The record is from RNAcentral. Lineage: Eukaryota; Viridiplantae; Streptophyta; Magnoliopsida; Vitales; Vitaceae.
GAAUAGACAACGCAACAUCAAGAUAAAAACAAAGAAAGAAAUUAUUGGAUUCAAUAUUAAUUUUCUAGAACACACAUAUAGUAAACAUAUAACACGAAAACAUAAAAGAUAAAUAAGAAGAACAACGCAAAAUUUGAGAGAAUAGGGAAUAUGGAGAAAACUUAUCGAAGAACUAAUUCCCAAUAAACUUCUCUUGACAAGGGGAAACCUAAAAAUUCUACCCUUACGCUUAAAGCAAUGUAGAGAAAGGAGUAGAGAUCAAAUUUUAAAACCACAAUGUACUUGAAAGUAAAUAAAAUUUUUUUGAUAAGAAACUAAAGAAAUGAAAAAUAGAAAACACAACAUAGAGCUCUAAAAAAAACAAUGAAAUCAAAGGAUUGAAAAUUCAUUAUCUACUAGAUACACGCAGUGAACAAAUAACACUCAAAUAUAAAAGAGAAGAAUAAAGAACAAUGCGAAAUGGAGGAGAAUAGGGGAUACGGAGAAAACUUACCUGACAAGUAUUUUCAAACAAACUUCUCCUUUCCUCGGGAAACCUGAAAAUUCUACUUUCACGCUUACCUAACAAGUAUGUGUACUAGAAAAUUAAUUUUGAAUUCGUUAAUUUCUUUAUUUGUUUUUUAUCUUGAUCUUGCGUUGUCUAUUCCUCAUUUCUUUAGUUUUGUACCUGCAUAAUUUGAUUUUCUUUCAAUGAUAUUGUUCCUUAAGAGUUAAUUUUGUUAUUCUCAUUUUUACGUUUGAUUAAGCGUAAGGGUAAAAUUUUCAAGUUUCCCGAGGAAAAGUGAGGUUUGUUUGAAAAUACUUGUCAGGUAAGUUUUCUCCGUAUCCCCUAUUCUCCUCCAUUUCGCAUUGUUCUUCAUUCUUCUCUUUUAUAUUUGAGUGUUAUUUGUUCACUGCGUGUAUCUAGUAGAUAAUGAAUUUUCAAUCCUUUGAUGUCAUUGUCUUUUUUAGAACUCUAUGUUGUGUUUUCUAUUUUUCAUUUCUUUAGUUUCUUAUCAAAAAAAUUUUAUUUACUUUCAAGUACAUUGUGGUUUUAAAAUUUGAUCUCUACUCCUUUCUCUACCUUGCUUUUAGCGUAAGGGUAGAAUUUUUAGGUUUCCUCUAGUUCAGAGAAGGUUAUUAGGAAUUAGUUCUUCCAUAAGUUUUCUCCAUGUUCCCUAUUCUAUCAAAUUUUGCAUUGUUAUUCUUAUUUAUUUUUUAUGUUUUCGUGUUAUAUGUUUACUAUAUGUGUGUUCUAGAAAAUUAAUAUUGAAUCAAAUAAUUUCUUUCUUUGUUUUUAUCUUGAUGUUGCGUUGUCUAUUCCUCAUUUCUUUAGUUUCGUAUGGGCAGAAUUUGAUUUCCUUUACAACAUAUUAAGCCUUAAGAGUUAAUUUUCUAAUUCUCGUUUUUACAUUUGAUCUCUACACUUUUCGCUACCUUCUAUAAGCGUAAGGGUAGAAUUUUCAAGUUUCUCGAGGUAAAGAGAAGUUUAUGGGGAAAUACUUGUCAGGUAAGUUUCCUCCGUAUCCCCUAUUCUCCUCCAUUUUGCAUUGUUCUUUAUUAUUCCCUUUUAUGUUUGAGUGUUAUUUGUUGACCGCUUGUGUGUAGUAAAGAAUUAAUUUUCAAUCCUUUGAUUCCUUUGUUUGUUUUUAAAAGCUUGAUGUUGUGUUUUUUAUUCCUUAUUUCUUUAGUUUCGUAUCAGAAUAAUUUGAUUUAUUUUCAAGGACAUUGUGGUUUUAACAUUUGAUAUCUACUCCUUUCUCUAUCUUGCUUUAAGAAGAAUGGUAGAAUUUUCAGGUUUUCCGUGGUAAAGAGAAGUUUAUUGGGAAUUANNNNNNNNNNNNNNNNNNNNNNNNNNNNNNNNNNNNNNNNNNNNNNNNNNNNNNNNNNNNNNNNNNNNNNNNNNNNNNNNNNNNNNNNNNNNNNNNNNNNAACAGUGCAAAAUUUGAGAGAAUAGGGAAUACGGAGGAAACUUAUUCAAGAACUAAUUCCCAAUAAACUUCUCUUUACCACGAGAAACCUGAAAAUUCUACCCUUAUGCUUAAUGCAAGGUAGAGAAAGGAGUAGAGAUAAAAUGUUAAAACCACAAUAUCCUUAAGAGUAAAUAAAAUUAUUCGGAUACGAAACUAAAGAUAUGAGCAAUAGAAAACACAACAUUAAACUUUUAAAAACAAACAAAGGAAUCAAAGGAUUGAAAAUUAAUUCUAUACUACACACAAGCGGUCAACAAAUAACACUCAAACAUAAAAGAGAAUAAUGAAGAAGAAUGCAAAAUGGAGGAGAAUAUGGGAUACGGAGGAAACUUACUUGACAAGUAUUUCCUCAUAAACUUCUCUUUACCUCGAGAAACUUGAAAAUUCUACCCUUACGCUUAUAGAAGGUAGCGAAAGGUAUAGAGAUCAAAUGUAAAAACGAGAAUUACAAAAUUAACUCUUAAGGCUUAAUAUGGUUGAAAAGGAAAUCAAAUUUUGCCGAUACGAAACUAAAGAAAUGAGGAAUAGACAACGCAACAUCAAGAUAAAAACAAAGAAAGAAAUUAUUGGAUUGAAUAUUAAUUUUCUAGAACACACAUAUAGUAAACAUAUAACACGAAAACAUAAAAGAUAAAUAAGAAGAACAACGCAAAAUUUGAGAGGAUAGGGAAUAUGGAGAAAACUUAUCGAAGAACUAAUUCCCAAUAAACUUCUCUUGACAAGGGGAAACCUAAAAAUUCUACCAUUACGC